RNAcentral lists this ribosomal RNA (453 nucleotides) under Candidatus Kurthia intestinigallinarum. RNAcentral describes it as "bacterial SSU rRNA". It matches the Rfam family "Bacterial small subunit ribosomal RNA", at positions 1 to 445 of the family's 1533-position model. Lineage: Bacteria; Bacillati; Bacillota; Bacilli; Caryophanales; Caryophanaceae. The record is from RNAcentral.
UUUUAUGGAGAGUUUGAUCCUGGCUCAGGACGAACGCUGGCGGCGUGCCUAAUACAUGCAAGUCGAGCGAAUGAUGAGAAGCUUGCUUCUCUGAUUUAGCGGCGGACGGGUGAGUAACACGUGGGCAACCUGCCCUGUAGACUGGGAUAACUUCGGGAAACCGGAGCUAAUACCGGAUAAUUCUUUUAGCCUCAUGGCUUUAAGCUAAAAGGCGCUUCGGCGUCACUACAGGAUGGGCCCGCGGUGCAUUAGCUAGUUGGUGGGGUAACGGCCUACCAAGGCAACGAUGCAUAGCCGACCUGAGAGGGUGAUCGGCCACAUUGGGACUGAGACACGGCCCAAACUCCUACGGGAGGCAGCAGUAGGGAAUCUUCCACAAUGGACGAAAGUCUGAUGGAGCAACGCCGCGUGAGUGAUGAAGGUUUUCGGAUCGUAAAACUCUGUUGUAAGGGA